RNAcentral lists this ribosomal RNA (400 nucleotides) under uncultured bacterium. RNAcentral describes it as "bacterial SSU rRNA". It matches the Rfam family "Bacterial small subunit ribosomal RNA", at positions 370 to 772 of the family's 1533-position model. The record is from RNAcentral.
AAUGGGCGACAGCCUGACGCAGCGACGCCGCGUGGGGGAUGAAGGUCUUCGGAUUGUAAACCCCUUUCGGCAGGGAAGAUGGAACGGGUAACCGUUCGGACGGUACCUGCAGAAGCAGCCACGGCUAACUUCGUGCCAGCAGCCGCGGUAAUACGAAGGUGGCAAGCGUUGUUCGGAUUUACUGGGCGUACAGGGAGCGUAGGCGGUUGGGUAAGCCCUCCGUGAAAUCUCCGGGCCUAACCCGGAAAGUGCGGAGGGGACUGCUCGGCUAGAGGAUGGGAGAGGAGCGCGGAAUUCCCGGUGUAGCGGUGAAAUGCGUAGAGAUCGGGAGGAAGGCCGGUGGCGAAGGCGGCGCUCUGGAACAUUUCUGACGCUGAGGCUCGAAAGCGUGGGGAGCAAA